Molecule: long non-coding RNA, 1154 nt
Organism: Suricata suricatta (meerkat)
Lineage: Eukaryota; Metazoa; Chordata; Mammalia; Carnivora; Herpestidae
Exons: 2
Source: RefSeq, a predicted model, not a curated record
UCUGUUCUGAUCCUCUCACCUGGUUCCUGGGGGUUGACUGGACAUCUUGGGUGUUCUUUAGUUGUGGAAGCAUCAUGCUAAUCUCUGUCUUCAUCUUCAUGCAGUGUUUUCUCUGUAGGCCAAGCAUGACCAUGAGGAAGAUGUAGUCCCAUCCUGAUAAGAAAACUCUGCCAUGCAAAGUCCACAUGCUUGGAAAAUGGCAAAGAAGAACACUAACCUAUGCAUGCACACCGAGCCCAGGCUGGACUUUGUGUGUACUCUAAAAAGAGUCACUGCCCCAGUCUGGUGAGUUCCCCAAGUCUUCAGAAGGUCAGGAGUCCAGGUGGCUUCUACAGAGUGCAGACCAUUACUAAAAUCUCCCCAUUUUCAAAUGUAUAAAUUUGUAAACUUUUCAGGAGAACUGACAGCUUGGGUAGCAAAUGACCAUUCUUUGGGGAAGUCACAGCUUUAACUCCAAAGGAGAGCAUUCUGGAAUUGUUUUCAUACCAUGGCUUUUCAGUAAAAAUUAGGCUGCAGACACUCUCACUCUGAAUUAAAGAGAAUGAAUUUUACCUGCUUGUCUCAGACCAGCUCCGUGCUCAGAUUAUCUCAGGGUUCAUAAGAGUCCCUUAAAUAUUCAUGAAGGCAUAAAGGAUCCCAAAGUUAAUUUACAUACUGUAGGUGGAGAGCAAAGAAGCCUGAUUUUCGGGUACAUAUAUAUGUGAAAAGCCAACAUUAGUCAAUUCUCCUCCAGAGGAAGAUUCUUCCGCGUACCAGAUGGAUGACAAAAGGGAAAGUACUUUGUUUCAAAACCUACUUCAACUCCCAAGUCACCUGUCAAACAAUCCACACAUACUCAAGCACAAGCACAAACACAUCAAAUUCUGGAUGUUAGAGGAGGAAAAAAACAGAGGUCAUAUGUAUGCAUGAUGCUGCUUCUUCUCACUCAUGAGUUCAGAGUAAUUUUUUCACCUGCUAACUCAAUGUCAGAGUCGGAGAGACCAAAUUCAGACUAAACUGCCAGGGGACUAAGCAUGUGAUGUUUGGCAAAGCAAUCAUUACAAAGAAACCUUACUUCUAAAGAAAGAAACACGGAUGCCCUGAGGAGGAUUUGACCUGUAAGUUGUUCUUUGAUGGUAAAAAAAAAAAAAAAAAAAAAAAGAAAAAAAAAAAAA